This 483-nucleotide ribosomal RNA is filed under the name uncultured bacterium. RNAcentral describes it as "bacterial SSU rRNA". It matches the Rfam family "Bacterial small subunit ribosomal RNA", at positions 28 to 526 of the family's 1533-position model. The record is from RNAcentral.
AAUGAACGUUGGCGGCGUGGAUUAGGCAUGCAAGUCGCGCGCGAUCCCCUUCGGGGGUGAGAGCGGCGGAAGGGAGAGUAACGCGUAGAUACCUACCCUCGGGACCGGAAUAGCGACGGGAAACUGUCGGUAAUGCCGGAUAACGUCCCUGGACCAAAGGUGAGAUUCCGCCUGAGGAGGGGUCUGCGUCCUAUUAGCUAGUCGGCGGGGUAACGGCCCACCGAGGCGAAGAUGGGUACCGGGCGUGAGAGCGUGACCCGGCUCACUGGGACUGAGACACUGCCCAGACACCUACGGGUGGCUGCAGUCGAGAAUCUUCGGCAAUGAGCGCAAGCUUGACCGAGCGACGCCGCGUGCGGGAUGAAGGCCUUCGGGUUGUAAACCGCUGUCAGUGGGGAGGAAAUUCGGGGGGGUUCUCCCCUUCGAUUGACCGAUCCGCAGAGGAAGGACGGGCUAAGUUCGUGCCAGCAGCCGCCGUAAAAC